AGAGUUUGAUCGUGGCUCAGAUUGAACGCUGGCGGCAGGCCUAACACAUGCAAGUCGAGCGGCAGCGGGUCCUUCGGGAUGCCGGCGAGCGGCGGACGGGUGAGUAAUGCCUAGGAAUCUGCCUGGUAGUGGGGGAUAACUCGGGGAAACUCGAGCUAAUACCGCAUACGUCCUACGGGAGAAAGCGGGGGAUCUUCGGACCUCGCGCUACCAGAUGAGCCUAGGUCGGAUUAGCUGGUUGGUGAGGUAAAGGCUCACCAAGGCGACGAUCCGUAGCUGGUCUGAGAGGAUGAUCAGCCACACUGGAACUGAGACACGGUCCAGACUCCUACGGGAGGCAGCAGUGGGGAAUAUUGGACAAUGGGCGAAAGCCUGAUCCAGCCAUGCCGCGUGUGUGAAGAAGGUCUUCGGAUUGUAAAGCACUUUAAGUUGGGAGGAAGGGCAGUAAGUUAAUACCUUGCUGUUUUGACGUUACCGACAGAAUAAGCACCGGCUAACUUCGUGCCAGCAGCCGCGGUAAUACGAAGGGUGCAAGCGUUAAUCGGAAUUACUGGGCGUAAAGCGCGCGUAGGUGGUUUGAUAAGUUGGAUGUGAAAGCCCCGGGCUCAACCUGGGAAUUGCAUCCAAAACUGUCUGACUAGAGUAUGGCAGAGGGUGGUGGAAUUUCCUGUGUAGCGGUGAAAUGCGUAGAUAUAGGAAGGAACACCAGUGGCGAAGGCGACCGCCUGGGCUAAUACUGACACUGAGGUGC
This 751-nucleotide ribosomal RNA is filed under the name uncultured bacterium. Its description in RNAcentral is "bacterial SSU rRNA". It matches the Rfam family "Bacterial small subunit ribosomal RNA", at positions 8 to 754 of the family's 1533-position model. The record is from RNAcentral.